UGGCGACCGGCGCACGGGUGAGUAACACGUAUCCAACCUGCCGAUGACUCGGGGAUAGCCUUUCGAAAGAAAGAUUAAUACCCGAUGGCAUAGUUCUUCCGCAUGGUAGAACUAUUAAAGGAUUUCGGUCAUCGAUGGGGAUGCGUUCCAUUAGGUUGUUGGCGGGGUAACGGCCCACCAAGCCUUCGAUGGAUAGGGGUUCUGAGAGGAAGGUCCCCCACAUUGGAACUGAGACACGGUCCAAACUCCUACGGGAGGCAGCAUG
Molecule: ribosomal RNA, 265 nt
Filed under: uncultured bacterium
Lineage: Bacteria
Description: partial 16S ribosomal RNA
Rfam family: Bacterial small subunit ribosomal RNA
Source: RNAcentral